Molecule: ribosomal RNA, 465 nt
Filed under: Vreelandella stevensii
Lineage: Bacteria; Pseudomonadati; Pseudomonadota; Gammaproteobacteria; Oceanospirillales; Halomonadaceae
Description: partial 16S ribosomal RNA
Rfam family: Bacterial small subunit ribosomal RNA
Source: RNAcentral
CCUACGGGAGGCUGCAGUGGGGAAUAUUGGACAAUGGGCGAAAGCCUGAUCCAGCCAUGCCGCGUGUGUGAAGAAGGCCUUCGGGUUGUAAAGCACUUUCAGUGGGGAAGAAAGCCUUGGGGCUAAUACCCUCGAGGAAGGACAUCACCCACAGAAGAAGCACCGGCUAACUCCGUGCCAGCAGCCGCGGUAAUACGGAGGGUGCGAGCGUUAAUCGGAAUUACUGGGCGUAAAGCGCGCGUAGGCGGUCUGAUAAGCCGGUUGUGAAAGCCCCGGGCUCAACCUGGGAACGGCAUCCGGAACUGUCAGGCUAGAGUGCAGGAGAGGAAGGUAGAAUUCCCGGUGUAGCGGUGAAAUGCGUAGAGAUCGGGAGGAAUACCAGUGGCGAAGGCGGCCUUCUGGACUGACACUGACGCUGAGGUGCGAAAGCGUGGGUAGCAAACAGGACUAGAUACCCGAGUAGUC